RNAcentral lists this unclassified non-coding RNA (338 nucleotides) under soil metagenome. Its description in RNAcentral is "partial contains 5.8S ribosomal RNA, internal transcribed spacer 2, and large subunit ribosomal RNA". The stretch from base 1 to 120 matches the Rfam family "5.8S ribosomal RNA", at positions 35 to 154 of the family's 154-position model. The record is from RNAcentral.
GAUGAAGAACGUAGCGAAAUGCGAUAAGUAGUGUGAAUUGCAGAAUUCAGUGAAUCAUCGAAUCUUUGAACGCACAUUGCGCCCCUUGGUAUUCCAUGGGGCAUGCCUGUUCGAGCGUCAUCUACACCCUCAAGCUCUGCUUGGUGUUGGGCGUCUGUCCCGUCCCCGCGCGUGGACUCGCCCCAAAUCCAUUGGCAGCGUUCCUUACCCCCUCUCGCGCAGCACAUUGCGCUUCUCGAGGGCGGCUCCGGGACGCGAUCCAGCAAGAUGACCACCGUCUUUGACCUCGGAUCAGGUAGGGAUACCCGCUGAACUUAAGCAUAUCAAUAAGCGGAGGA